GACAUGCCGGCAUCAUGACAUGCUGGGUAUCACAAUGUAGUGGGUAUCGCAACAUGCCAGUAUUAUGACACACUGGGUAUUGUGACGCGCUGGUAUCGCGACAUGCUGGGUAUUGCAAUGUGCCGGUAUUGCAACAUGUCGGUAUCAUGACAUGCUGGGUAUCACGAUGAAGUGGGUAUCCUGACAUGCCAGUAUUAUGACACACUGGGUAUUGCGACAAGCCGGUAUCACAGUGUGCUGGCUAUCGCGACAUGCCGGUGUUGCAGUGUGCUGGAUAUUGCGACGUGCCAGUAUCGCGACAUGCUGAUAUCGCGACGUGCUGGGUAUCACGAUGCAGCGGUGGCGCUGGCGCUGGUGACGGUGACGUCGGUGCCGCUGCUGCGGGCUCUGGGUCGCCGCCUGCUCUCCAUGGCCGACACCGGCGCCGCCUUCGAGCCCGGCAGCGUCGUGGCCGCGUUUGUCACCUGCCCCAACCAGGGGGUGGCCACACAGCUGGCCAGGUGGGGACAC
This 510-nucleotide long non-coding RNA is filed under the name Anas platyrhynchos platyrhynchos (common mallard). RNAcentral describes it as "lncRNA (ENSAPLG00000030352.1)". Lineage: Eukaryota; Metazoa; Chordata; Aves; Anseriformes; Anatidae. The record is from RNAcentral.